Molecule: long non-coding RNA, 1015 nt
Organism: Apis mellifera (honey bee)
Lineage: Eukaryota; Metazoa; Arthropoda; Insecta; Hymenoptera; Apidae
Exons: 4
Source: RefSeq, a predicted model, not a curated record
UCGAGUCGAUUCGAUCUGAUUCGCGUUCGAUUGAAUUAUUCGAUGCACGUCUCGUGUGCAACAUUUUUAAUUUAAGUUCGACGGAAUCGCGUUCUGUUUUUUUCUCUGGUACGAUUCGUGAAUGGAUUUCAAAUGGGAUCGAAACGCAUCAGUAAUAACGGUUAUCAGCAGGACCAGAAUAAAAUUUAUUUAGUGAUUUUCACGGAACACAGUCGUCACGUACAUAUGAUUCUAAGUCAUAUAACACGAUUUUGAAUAACACGGAAUCAAUUAACCGUAUUAUUCGAGGAUUUCAUGUAUAUCAUAAGUUUGAAAUCAAAUAAAUAAAUAAAACGGAUGAAUAUUACACUGUCAAAAGUAAAUAGAAUCGCGUCCUGCAUAAAUUGUGCGAAGUUUGGAUUUCGACAAGAAAAAUGACACGAAUGAAAAGACGUUUGAAGCGCGUCGCGUCGCAGACUGAAGUUUUGCGACGAGUUUCGUAGGUUGGAUGCCGGGACGCCAGGAUACCGGGGACUCCGCGACGCAUGCUCCAGGAUAUGUUACAUGACACAACGGAUGUGUUUAAUAGAGAAUUUAAAUGCGAAGAAUUUCAAGGAUUCUAUCAAUGAAAUAUUUAAUUUAAAUUUUUAAUUUGUUGAAAUAUACAAUUCUUUAAUCGAAAGGAAAAUGAUAUUAAUUGGAGUUUAUAAAUAAUAAUAAGAAGGAAUUUGUUAGAAUUUCUGCAAUUCAGUACAGAGUAUAAAGCGUUUGAAACUCAUCUUUCCAUCCUCUUGUGCUCUUGUGCUAGAUUAUGUCGAACAAUUUAUUACUCACACGCUUACUCUAUGGCUUACGAUCCAAUACCAUCUUAUUAAUGCGAGGCUGUCGUAUCGAGAUCGGAGAUGGAAGCUGAAAUAGUGAACGAGCCAUCCUAAAGGUUAUCGUAGUUUUUGAACAUUCGCCUUGAAAAAGCAUCUUUGUUAAAAAAUUCAGACUUUUAUUAUCAUUGUCUGAAUCAAUGAUAUAUUUUUUUGAA